UCUGUUUCUCCUUGAUCCCCGGAGAGAUUCACAGGGAAUUUUGCCCUAUUGAAGAAAUCAACACAAUAAAAUCCCUGAUGGAGGUUGCUAGGUCAUCAGAUGUAUUAUAGUCUUUGAAGUCUAAAGAUGGAGAUAAAUGAGAACUUGACAGAAAAAAAAGGAAAACUCCGUGAUAUUUGAAGGCCAUUUAUGUUCUCUUGUUCAUUACAUGGAUGACUCUGUGAAGGUCUCAGCUUCUUCUUCUGGGCAUACAGUCUUAUUAGGGUUGGGUCCAUGUAACAAGGUGAUCCAGCUGUUUUAAAAGGCUGCUUAUAAUUCAAAGCUGAUUCAAAAAAGUUACCAAAUGGUUUUGAAAAUGUGCUGGAAACUUUGGGCAGAGCUACAAGUGCAAAGGCAAAACUGCUUCAUAUUAAGUGACAUACAGACAUAAACAAGGCACACAUCAUUCAUCAGGAGUUUUCUAAGUGAGGCAACAGAUUUUUCACCUUCCCUUUUCAUCUUCAAUCAGUUG
Molecule: long non-coding RNA, 511 nt
Organism: Sarcophilus harrisii (Tasmanian devil)
Lineage: Eukaryota; Metazoa; Chordata; Mammalia; Dasyuromorphia; Dasyuridae
Exons: 3
Source: RefSeq, a predicted model, not a curated record